Long non-coding RNA from Maniola jurtina (meadow brown), 206 nucleotides. RefSeq lists it as uncharacterized. The record is from RefSeq and is a predicted model, not a curated record. The transcript is spliced from 5 exons. Lineage: Eukaryota; Metazoa; Arthropoda; Insecta; Lepidoptera; Nymphalidae.
CUGUGAUAGUGCUGCUGCUCGAUUGCGGUAGAAUGACAGCUAAAAUGUCACGAUCGCAAUCGCCUCUGAUUGGUUAACGCUCGCUCACCAUUGGCUACAAUGCAUUGUUGCAACGAGAAUGUCAUAAAUUCUGCCAAUCACAACAAUUGCGAUUGUAAUAAUGAUUGAUGCAGGUUUCCCGCAAUCGACCAACCGAAAAUGAAACU